AAAAGUUGGGGAGACCUGACGCUGAAAGAUGGACUCGCGUCCCAUUAGCUAGUUGGUAGGGUAAUGGCCUACCAAGGCGACGAUGGGUAGCCGGCCUGAGAGGGUGGCCGGCCACACUGGGACUGAGACACGGCCCAGACUCCUACGGGAGGCAGCAGUGGGGAAUUUUGCGCAAUGCUCGUAAGAGUGACGCAGCGACGCCGCGUGAAUGACGAAGGCCUUCGGGUCGUAAAGUUCUUUCGACAGGGAAGAAAAUGCCUAUAAGUAACUGUGUAUGUAUUGACGGUACCUGUAUAAGCAGCCCCGGCUAACUCCGUGCCAGCAGCCGCGGUAAUACGGAGGGGGCGAGCGUUGUUCGGAGUGACUGGGCGUAAAGAGCACGUAGGCGGUGUUGUAAGUCAUUAGUCAAAGACUAGAGCUCAACUUUAGUAAGGCUAGUGAUACUAUAAUACUAGAGUAUCAGAGAGGAUUGCAGAAUUCCUGGUGUAGCGGUGAAAUGCGUAGAUAUCAGGAGGAAUACCGUUAGCGAAGGCGGCAAUCUGGCUGGAAACUGACGCUGAGGUGCGAAAGCGUGGGUAGCAAACAGGAUUAGAUACCCUGGUAGUCCACGCUGUAAACGAUGGAUGCUAGGUGUUGG
RNAcentral lists this ribosomal RNA (637 nucleotides) under uncultured bacterium. RNAcentral describes it as "bacterial SSU rRNA". It matches the Rfam family "Bacterial small subunit ribosomal RNA", at positions 202 to 826 of the family's 1533-position model. The record is from RNAcentral.